RNAcentral lists this ribosomal RNA (263 nucleotides) under uncultured bacterium. RNAcentral describes it as "partial 16S ribosomal RNA". It matches the Rfam family "Bacterial small subunit ribosomal RNA", at positions 793 to 1055 of the family's 1533-position model. The record is from RNAcentral.
GUCCACGCCCUAAACGAUGCGAACUGGAUGUUGGGCUCAACUUGGAGCUCAGUAUCGAAGCUAACGCGUUAAGUUCGCCGCCUGGGGAGUACGGUCGCAAGACUGAAACUCAAAGGAAUUGACGGGGCCCGCACAAGCGGUGGAGUAUGUGGUUUAAUUCGAUGCAACGCGAAGAACCUUACCUGGCCUUGACAUCCACGGAACUUACCAGAGAUGGUUUGGUGCCUUCGGGAACCGUGAGACAGGUGCUGCAUGGCUGUCGU